GAGUUCCGGGGGCCAGGCGGUCACUGCGAGUCUGGUAUCCUGAGCUUCGUGAGUUGAGCGCUGCUGCUCCGCAGUGGAGUCACUGCACCGCUCCUGUGAUCAUGGUGUUCUACUUCACCAGCAGCAGCGUUAUUUCAUCUGCCUACACUAUUUACAUGGGAAAAGAUAAAUAUGAAAAUGAAGAUCUGAUCAAGCAUGGCUGGCCUGAAGAUAUCUGGUUUCAUGAGGACAAACUCUCUUCAGCUCAUGUAUACCUUCGAUUACAUAAGGGAGAGAAUAUAGAAGACAUUCCAAAGGAAGUGCUGAUGGACUGUGCCCACCUUGUGAAGGCCAAUAGCAUUGAAGGCUGCAAGAUGAACAACGUUAAUGUGGUAUAUAUUCUGUGAUCUAACCUGAAGAAAACAGCUGACAUGGAUGUGGGGCAGAUAGGCUUUCACAGGCAGAAGGAUGUAAAAAUUGUGACAGUGGAGAAGAAAGUAAACAAGAUCGUGAGCUGAUUAGAAAAGACCAAAGUGAAGCGGUUCCCAGACCUAGCAGCAGAGAAAGAAUGCGGAGAUCAUGAAGAGAGGAAUGAGAAAAAAACCCAAAUUCAGGAAAUGAAAAGGUGAGAAAAAGAAGAAAUGAAGAAGAAAAGGGAAAUGGAUGAACUUAGGAGCUAUUCAUCACUAAUGAAAGUUGAAAAUAUGUCUUUAAAUCAGGAUGGCAAUGAUUCAGAUGAAUCAUGUAAAAGGAGGAAAGGACCUUUGAAAGAUGUGAAUGUAGAGACAAUUGCAGACCUUUUGGUUUCAUCCGUGUUCUGAAGUAUAAAAUAAAACCAA
This is a non-coding RNA of Chlorocebus sabaeus (green monkey), 818 nucleotides long. Lineage: Eukaryota; Metazoa; Chordata; Mammalia; Primates; Cercopithecidae. The record is from RefSeq and is a predicted model, not a curated record.